This 253-nucleotide ribosomal RNA is filed under the name uncultured bacterium. Its description in RNAcentral is "partial 16S ribosomal RNA". It matches the Rfam family "Bacterial small subunit ribosomal RNA", at positions 524 to 776 of the family's 1533-position model. The record is from RNAcentral.
UACGUAGGGGGCAAGCGUUAUCCGGAUUCACUGGGCGUAAAGGGAGCGCAGGCGGCACGGCAAGUCUGGUGUGAAAGCCCGGGGCCCAACCCCGGGACUGCAUUGGAAACUGCCGGGCUGGAGUGCCGAAGGGGUAAGCGGAAUUCCUGGUGUAGCGGUGAAAUGCGCAGAUAUCAGGAAGAACACCGGUGGCGUAGGCGGCUUACUGGACGGCAACUGACGCUGAGGCUCGAAAGCGUGGGGAGCAAACAGG